This 468-nucleotide ribosomal RNA is filed under the name uncultured bacterium. RNAcentral describes it as "partial 16S ribosomal RNA". It matches the Rfam family "Bacterial small subunit ribosomal RNA", at positions 28 to 507 of the family's 1533-position model. The record is from RNAcentral.
GACGAACGCUGGCGGCGUGCUUAACACAUGCAAGUCGAACGGAAAGGCCCUGCUUUUGUGGGGUGCUCGAGUGGCGAACGGGUGAGUAACACGUGAGUAACCUGCCCUUGACUUUGGGAUAACUUCAGGAAACUGGGGCUAAUACCGGAUAGGAGCUCCUGCUGCAUGGUGGGGGUUGGAAAGUUUCGGCGGUUGGGGAUGGACUCGCGGCUUAUCAGCUUGUUGGUGGGGUAGUGGCUUACCAAGGCUUUGACGGGUAGCCGGCCUGAGAGGGUGACCGGCCACAUUGGGACUGAGAUACGGCCCAGACUCGUACGGGAGGCAGCAGUGGGGAAUAUUGCGCAAUGGGCGGAGGCCUGAUGCAGCAACGCCGCGUGCGGGAUGACGGCCUUCGGGUUGUAAACCGCUUUCGCCUGUGACGAAGCGUGAGUGACGGUAAUGGGUAAAGAAGCACCGGCUAACUACGUG